UACGUAGGGGGCAAGCGUUGUCCGGAAUCAUUGGGCGUAAAGCGCGUGUAGGCGGCUCGGUAAGUCCGCUCUGAAAGUCCAGGGCUCAACCCUGGGAUGCGGGUGGAUACUGCCGGGCUCGAGUCCGGAAGAGGCGAGUGGAAUUCCCGGUGUAGCGGUGAAAUGCGUAGAUAUCGAGAGGAACACCUGCGGCGAAGGCGGGUUGCUGGGCUGACACUGACGCUGAUGCGCGAAAGCCAGGGGAGCGAACGGG
Molecule: ribosomal RNA, 253 nt
Filed under: uncultured bacterium
Lineage: Bacteria
Description: partial 16S ribosomal RNA
Rfam family: Bacterial small subunit ribosomal RNA
Source: RNAcentral